AUGGUCACAUCAUGUUGAAGCACUGGUUCCCAUUUGAUCGCCGAAGUUAAGGAACAUCGAGCCUAGUCAAUACCUAGAUGGGUGACUGCUUGGAAAUACCAGGUGUUGCAA
Acanthosepion pharaonis is the source of this 111-nucleotide non-coding RNA. The record is from the annotation of a GenBank genome assembly. Lineage: Eukaryota; Metazoa; Mollusca; Cephalopoda; Sepiida; Sepiidae.